Lutra lutra (Eurasian river otter) is the source of this 995-nucleotide long non-coding RNA. RefSeq lists it as uncharacterized. The record is from RefSeq and is a predicted model, not a curated record. NCBI's taxonomy places the organism in Eukaryota, Metazoa, Chordata, Mammalia, Carnivora, Mustelidae. The transcript is spliced from 2 exons.
GAUCCUUCCGACGAGUUAGGCGUGUUUUAGCCGGGUGUGGAAGUGAUUUUUUUUUUUUGGAAGAUGCGAAUUUAUUAGCUACACGUGGUGAUUGCAGCUGCUCCUCAUACUUCCGCUAAACCUGUAUGUUGUUGCACAGAAAUCUGUAUCUUCGCCUGGACGAGGUCCAGUUACAACCACUUUGCGAACGGCGUGUAUCUCCUAGGCACAUCACAUGCAGAAGGCCAGAAAUGACCGCUUCUUCCUCCCUCUAGACCUACUCCUACCCUGUGUUGUCGCCCCCAUCACCUAAUCAUUCUAACCUGGGCAUUAUCUUCUCUCCUCCUCUUAUCAUGUCUCAACAAUGGUUAACUUCUCAAUGUGUUCGAACUCCCGUCGUCACAGUGUCACAAUGUUCAAGCGAUCGUCAUUUCCCACGUGGAUGAUUCCUGCCUGGCAUUUGUGUGUGUGUCGUCCUGUGCGCCGCAUGGACCAUGACCUUAAUCAAAUUCUCAAAGGUAUCUGUGAUUAAAAAGGACCAGACUCAUUUUAGCCUGAGACACAUCGAGAUUGGGAACACAAGCAGGAAGAGUGGGAGAAGGAGAAGCAGGCCUCCCACUGAGCAGGAAGCCCCAUGGGGGGCUCCAUCCCAGGAUUCCAGAACCAUGACCCGACCAGAAGUCAGAUGCCCAAAGACUGAGCCACCCAUGUGCCACUGCAAUCUCUUUUUUAAAAAAUAUUUUACAUAGAUUUUCAUUGCUGUUAAUAUUUAUAGCUAAGGAAUUCUGUGGCAGGAAUGCACUAAAUUUUUUAAAUCAUUUCACUAUUGUAUGAGGUCAAGUGCUUUCCAAAUUUUCCCUAUUAAAUAAUAAAUGUAGACAUAGUUUAAAUUUUAAAAAUACAACCAAUGUUCUCCAUACAGGUUGCACAGUUUUGAACUACCAACGGUGUAUGAGAGCAUCCUAUUCCCUAAACCCUUGCUAACAAGAAAUGUUAAUAUUUUGCACUUUUGCCAA